AUGAACUCGUGGGAGCCCGACAACAUUCCUGUAUUGGUAGCCUCUGUGAUCAUCAGCCCCGUAUCACAGAUGAGGAAGUUGAGCAAUGGAGUGAUUCAGUGGCAUGGCUCAAGUGUGAAGGAGCGGAGACUGGAACUCAGGGGUCCUGGCUGCAGAACCCUUGCUCUUAUCCACCGUUCACUCCCAGUGCAAGAGGUUUGGGAAUGGGAUUGGGGGUGGGGCUCUCCAUCCUGGGCAUUCCACCCUGCCCUCAGAGAUCUCAUGGUCCUCUCCUCCAUCCUGCAACCUUCCAUCUUUGUGACUCCAAUACCUCCACUCCAUCCCCAGACCAACCAAGCAUUUCAUCCCACCUGGAGCAGCCCCAUCCUCCCUGCCCCCAUCUCAGCAUCCCAUCCUGCUGUUAGUGACCCCAAUUUCUCCCUAUUUCCUGGCCCUGCGCUUGCAUACCCAACCUCCUUCUCCCCAGCCCUUCCCCUCCUGCUUCAGUUCGGAUCUCCUGGUCAUGGAGGACCUGCCUGCCAGGGCAGAGGCAGGUGGGGACUGUCAAUCCGGGAACCGGGAGCUGGGGCUGGGGGUUCCCUCCGGGUCCCGGCUCACCCUCUGGGACGCCAGCUCCCAGCAUGCGCGCGUCUCGGGCACCAGUGCGACGGUGGUAUUUAUGAGCCAUCCCACCGCCCACAGCUGUCCCAGCCCCGGAAGAGCCUGCCUUCUCCAGGUGACGGCCUCCCCAGACAGCUGGGGCCCCGCGUCCCACUGGUCUGGCCGGUCCCAGGCGCCCCACGCCCACACGCAACCCCCCAAGGGCGGAGCGAAGGAAGGGGUACCCAGGAAGUUUUGGUAAACCACCGCUGCCACCUCCAAGCUGGCCACCAGGUGAGCGCCCGGACCGGGGGAUUCUUCACCACUGAGCCACCAGGGAAGCCCAGACCCCUUUCUUUCUACCAUGAAAACUAUUGUUCGUGUCCUCCAAGUCCUGCCGCCAGGAAGAGAGAUCAGACUUUGAAAGGACUGGCCAGUACCUCCUCCACCGUCAGCGAAUAGGAAGAGCUCUUUCUUCCCGGGGUUGUCAAGACGCUGUGAGCCCUUCCAGGAGAUGGGUGACAAGAUGCUCCCUUAGGUAAGUCUUACUCGGUGUGGGGCAAAUCCAAGACCACUCACUUUGCUUCAUUGAUCUUCACUGGGGGAUGGUUAUGGAAGCAAAGGCAUGGUCAAGGUUGAAAGACUCUAGGAAUGCAGGGAUUCUUGCCUAAAGAGGGUAAGAAAGAGCUAGUUAGAAGAGGAAUCCUACACCAAUGCUAUUAAUCCCAAAUAUGACCUUUUAAGUCGGAGAAGGCAAUGGCACCCCACUCCAGUACUCUUGCCUGGAAAAUCCCAUGGAUGGAGGAGCCUGGUAGGCUGUAGUCCAUGGGGUCGCUAAGAGUCGGACACGACUGAGCGACUUCCCUUUCACUUUUCACUUUCAUGCAUUGGAGAAGGAAAUGGCAACCAACUCCAGUAUUCUUGCCUGGAGAAUCCCAAGGACGGGGGAGCCUGGUGGGCUUCGGUCUAUGGGGUCACACAGAGUCGGACAUGACUGAAGUGAAUUAGCAGCAGCAGCAGCAUGACCUUUUAAAAGACCAGAGAGCGGACUCUCUCUCCUGCGUGCGUGCGCUCUUUUCUUUCUCUCUCUCUCUCUCCCCCUCUCUCCCUCUUGCUAUCUUCUAAAUAAAAUGGAGCUGUAACACUGAAUUGCCUAAGAGCUGUAACACAGUUUGUCCAAGACCCGAGAGCUGUGAUGCGCCGAGGGCUUUAAUGUCCGUUGCUCCAAAUCUUUGUUGUGACGAGACAAAGAACCGAGGAACAUACACUCACGUGACAUCUAUGGUGCCGUGACUCGGGUUUAACCUGGCUGAAACAACCUCUAUGUGGAAGAGGCCAAGCAUAACAGGAGCCCAACUCAGCAAAGCUCCCGAGCUAGAAGCGGAAGGCGAAGAAACCCAGCGCAGGGGAAGGCCCAUCGUGCUGGAAACCGGGACAGCGAGAAACGAACUCAGCAGAAAGCUCACGUGGCCCAGUCUCAGAUUCCAGAAGACCUCUGGUUAAGGUCAACCAGCUACAACAUGCAGUGCCAGUUCAACAAAGAUAUAAAACUACAGCUGACCACGGAAAAUAUCACACACCCUUGGACACCGCUAUAAGGACUCUGAGGCUUGAGACUAGCAAGAGGGGGCGGCUCAAUACCCCUCGCCACCUCAGUUCAGCAGUAAGUAGCCAGAAAGACCUCGACGCCCCUAUUCCCAAAGAAUUUGGCCUCCCAUCUCUUGAGGGGGGAACGUUAGGUAGGUAGAAUAGGGAAAAGGAGUCCAAAAUGGCAGUGGCUAAAAGACUAGGAAGGUCCGAGGACCAGAGUGAAGACUUCAGGCAGGACAAACAGAACAAACAGCACUCCUGGCUAAGCCCAAUUUGCAUAGGGCAGGCCCAGGUGGAGGAAAAAACAUAUAAAAGGAGGAGCCAAAGUGCUUUCUCUCGGACUCUCUCUCCUUCGUGCGUGCGCUCUUCUCUCUCUCUCUCUCCCUCUCUCUCUCUCUCCCUCUCUCUCUCUCUCCCCCUCUCUCCCUCUUGCUAUCUUCUAAAUAAAAUGGAGCUGUAACACUGAAAAAAAAUAAAAUAAAAUAAAAUAAAUAAAAGACCAGAGAAAUUGCUGCUCACAGUUUUCUGCAUUCUCUGAGUAAGCAUUGCAUUUGUGGGACUUCCCUGGUAGUCCAGUGGUUAAGACUUCUCCCUGCAAUGCAAGGGACUUGAGUUCGAUCCCUGAUCGGGGAACUAGGAUCCCACAUGCCUCAGGGCAACUAAGCCCUUGCACCACAACUAGAAAGUCCAUGCUAUACAAUUAGAAAAUCUGUGUGCUGAAAUGAAAGAUCCUGCAUGCUGCAACUAAGACCAACACAGCCAAAUAAGUAACAUAAACAUUAAAAAAUUAAAAAAAAAUGUUAGGACUCAUUAAAAAGAAAAGAAAAGAAUUGCAUCUGUUGUUGUUUAGUCCCUAAGUUGGGUUCAACUCUUUGUGACUCCAUGGACUGCAGCACACCAGGCUCCUCUGUCCUUCAUUAUCUCCUGGAGUUUGUUCAAAUUCAUGUCCAUUGAGUUGGUGAUGCUAUCCAACUGUCUUAUCCUUUGCCGCCCCCUUCUCCUUUUGCCUUCAAUCUUUUCUAGCUUCGGGGCCUUUUCAAAUGAAUCAGGACUUUACAUCAGGUAGCCAAAAUAUUGGAGCUUCAGCUUCAACAUCAGUCCUUCCAACGAAUAUUCUGCACAGAUUUCCUUUAGGAUUGACUGGCUUGAUUUCCUUGCAGUCCAAGAGAUUCUCAAGAGUCUUCUUCAGCACCACAAUUCAAAAGCAUCAGUUCUUCAGUACUGAGUCUUCUUUAUGAUCCAACUCUUUUGUCCAUACAUCCCUACUGAGAAAACCAUGGCUUGGACCUUUGUCGGCAAAGUGAUGUCUCUGCUUUUUAAUACGCUGUCUAGGUUUGUCGUAGCUUUCCUCCCAAGGAGCAAGCUUCUUUUAAUUUCUUGGCCGCAGUCACCUCUCGCAGUCAUUUUGGAGCCCAAGAAAAUAAAACCUGUCACUGGUUCCAAUUCUUCCCCUUCUAUUUGCCUAAAAGUGAUGGGACUGGAUGCUGUGAUCUUUUUUUUUUUAAUGUGAAGUUUCAAGUCAGCUUUUUCACUUUCCUCUUUCGCCCUCUUUACACUUAUAUGCAAAAUGAUUUGGGUUCUAGGCUUGGAUUAACAGGCUUUCCUCCUGCAAGAAAACACCCAGGACACUGGCUUAAAGCAGGAGGAAUCCAGGAUGGCUCUCCCCUGGGGGGGGCUCUGUCCUGUACCUGGCUACCCAAUGACACUCCUAUUACUGUGAUAUCAAAAUACACCUAUAACUUUCCCAAGAGACCAGUGGGUUGUUUUGUACAGCCUUGUCUCCUAGGAGCCAUUACUCUCUAAUCAUUAGCUUCCUGGCAGUAGGCUCUUUUGGAACCCAAUUAUAUUUGUUUUUCUUUUUAAUCAAAGUGCAGCAUGGGGUGUAAUUCCAGGAAUUAAUAGAGAUUGUCUCUGGAGGAGGAAAUUGAAGAAUGAAAAUGACUUGUCAGAUUCUGGCUUUUUAUCCUACUUGAAGUUUUUAAACAUUUUUCUAAAGCCAUAUUUUUGGACUCAUAAUUGGAUUACAAUCAGUUUUCAUAAUCUCAUUACCAAAUAAGAUUCCCCCAGCUUUUACAUUACAUUAAAAAGUGAUGUAUUGCUGGGACUUCACUGGUGGUCCAGUGAUUAAGAGUCCACCUUCC
RNAcentral lists this long non-coding RNA (4310 nucleotides) under Bos grunniens (domestic yak). RNAcentral's name for it is "lncRNA (ENSBGRG00000025015.1)". Lineage: Eukaryota; Metazoa; Chordata; Mammalia; Artiodactyla; Bovidae. The record is from RNAcentral.